Populus nigra (black poplar) is the source of this 467-nucleotide long non-coding RNA. RefSeq lists it as uncharacterized. The transcript is spliced from 3 exons. The record is from RefSeq and is a predicted model, not a curated record. NCBI's taxonomy places the organism in Eukaryota, Viridiplantae, Streptophyta, Magnoliopsida, Malpighiales, Salicaceae.
AAGAAUCAGUAACUUACUUAGAGAUGGUUCAGAGUUUCCAAACCUAGAAUCUAUGCAAAACAUGACCUAUUUGAUGUUAAGCAACUGCAACUUGUCAGGAUCUUUUCCCAGAUACUUGACUGAAAUGAAACAACUGAAAGUUUUGUAAUCUUCAUUAUCUCUUAUGCUUAAUUUUUCAUUCAUCUACAUCAAGAUUGAAAUGUGAAUUUCACGCAUACUUAGAGCUGCCGACCUUAGAUUGCUAAUUUAGUUAUUAUUUGUACUUUUUUGUGAACUUCCAUAACGUAGAUUUAAGAACAAUAUGCACCUUUUAUUUUGGUUACAGGGAUCUCAGUUUCAACAGAUUGAAAGGAGAUCUUCCAACAGAUUAUGAUGACCUAAUAAGCUUGGAGAAAAUUUAUGUUACAAGGAACAUGCUUUCAGGACCCAUCCCGCCCUGGAUCCAUAGCAGAGAUACUCGCUGGUAA